Molecule: long non-coding RNA, 1466 nt
Organism: Musca domestica (house fly)
Lineage: Eukaryota; Metazoa; Arthropoda; Insecta; Diptera; Muscidae
Exons: 3
Source: RefSeq, a predicted model, not a curated record
GCAGCCUUUUAUACCCCUCUUCUCAGUGAAUCCCGCCAGACGCUCAUUUUCCACGAAACACCAUUUUCCUGAGCCAUUUUCAAUUUUCAUUCCUUUUUCUUUUCAACUGUCAAUAGCCAUUUUUUUAUUCUAUUGUGAAUUCUCAUUUCAGCUCACCCCGGAGUAGUAGUAGGUUCCCACCUACUCGGCAAUCAGAGGGCUGCCUAGUCACUUCUUAGCCUGAGUCACCCUGUCAUUCACUACCUUUAUAAUACUCUUUAACUCAACCCUGUUCGAGCCUAAUUUCGUACGUAGCGAACCCUAACAAACCAUUUCCGGCAUUUUGAUCCCAUCGCCACCCAGACUACACACCCCGCAGAAAUUACAAGCAAAUUGAAAUCUCGAAGCAUCCUCACCAUCCUCACUAAAAACCCAGGAAAACUGAGCAGAUCCAUUUGAGGACCAAUUAUGGGAUGCACUACCAACAGAAUUGGGAUAAUUUCUGCGGUGGUUGUGGACAGGUUUUGCCAAAAAACACGGCCCCAUAUAUUUGUUGCCUUAUUGCGCCGCAUGUGAACGGCCUGCAACAAAACUUCAACUUCGGCCAGAAAAUCGAGGACGGAGGUGAUGUGCAGGGCCGCAUAACUCAUUUACGUGGGGACUUCCCACUCCCUGAAGGUCUCAUGCCGGGCAUAAGCUCCGAACAGCAGGCUGGUCUAAGCCCUCCCCCUCAUGCUGAUCUGUGAAACAUGUCUUGCUGGUUCGCCUGAUAAUUCUCGAUCCGACACCCUGAAAAUAUCGUGUCACUACCAAACAUCGAUCGAGUUCCCCUAUAGCAGGUCAACAUUUGGGAAGAUCAAAAACGCUCAUAAAUUUUAAAAUACGCAUUCAUUCAUUUAUAAAAUCCCGCAUUCAGUAUUUCUACUAAGACAAGCUCAGAGGAACGGAUGGGAUUUAUCGGCCCACUCCUUUGGGACCUUCACUACAAAAAGGUAAACAUCCGGAACAACCCAAUAAUUCUAUCAACCUAAGAUCUUGUGUGGAGUUGGAAUAUAUUUGUCCUCUCCGGCGGAUCUACACUGGUAAUACCCACCAGCUCUCAAUGAAAAAUUCUCCGAUUCCAUCAAAAUUUCACACAUUCUUCUUGGUUAUGGAUAUAAUCUUCAAAGUUGGAAUCUAUACGUACUUUGAUACACAAAUAAUUUGAUCAAAUUAUUGAAAUCAUGGUACAAUAAAAAGGUAAGGUGGUGAAACAUUUUGCAUGCGGAAAUAUUUGUGCCUAUGCCUGUCUUGUCGUCGUGGUUGCCGAAGAACGGAUUUUGUAUGCGGUAUAUGCUGAUGUGAUUGAUAGGUAAACAAAUACCAUAAUCGUGGUGUCUACGUGAUUGUCUGGUAGAAUGUAGUUUUAUGUAUGUUCGCUUUUUAUGUAUGGGAAUCUUUCAUUAAUUUAUGCCGGAAUAAACCAGAUUGUGCUAUUUUUAUCGCCA